AUUGUAUUAAUGUUUCGUUACAAAUGUAGUUGCUUUAUUAUUCGUUCCUAUUCGCGAUCCCAUUAUCGAUACAACUCCUGGAAAUUAUAAAUACUUCGAAUCAAGGGCAGAAACUUUGAAGAUAUAAUCUAACAGUACUCGAGAUUAAUGUUUAUAGAUACGAACUAUUAAUAAACUUGGCGCUGCAUUUCAUAAAUUCUUAACGGCCGAAUGAAAUUACAGAUUGUUGAAUCAUAGCAUUGACUAGUCAAUGCUCAUAGUCGUCAUUUAAAACUACGUUCGUCAGAUGUGAACAUUAACAUUCUUCGCGUAGGGGCAGCACUGUCAGAACGGUCUAAAAUGGCGGGUGUACUGUUCGAGGAUAUUUUCAACGUAAAAGACAUCGAUCCAGAGGGGAAGAAAUUCGACAGGGGCACGGAACGUGUCGCCAGAUGAAUGUUAAGGUAUCAGGAACGAUUUUCAAUCUUCUUAGAGGAGACGACGAAUUCGUAAUGCGAGAUCGCCAAUGGAAACUUGGUAAUUGGGUCCUCGUCCAAAGAGAAACGGGCGACGGAAAGAGGGAAAAAUUCUAAAGUUCGAAGUUGCACAAUCCUUCAAGGAAGGAGACCGUGCCUGACAGUAGGUCAUCUUCCAUUGCCGGGUGCUGAGGUAAUUCGAGUAAUUUAUACGGACAACUCGAGCAGAUUGCUGGCGAACCUAAUAAUUUCCUCUUUCUGUCCAAGAUACCUGCGUACGUCGCCAUUUCACGUCGUCUCGCCAUUAUUUUUACUAAUGAAACACCCUCCCCCCCUCUCUGCUGCCCGCGUCUCGAUUAUUCUUGUGUCUCCAAUUCGAGGAAAUAUUGGAUUUCCAGGAAACGGUGUGUCUUUCUUAUUUUCGUGGUAGUUUAUUUGUCCGGAAAAGAAAGAAAUUGAAGAAAUGAAGUGAAAAUGAAAAGUGACUUGAAGAGAUAUUUAAUGACAGUUAUAACUAUCAACUAACGAUAGUAUAGCAAUUAUAAUAAUAGUUGUAACAAGAUGGUACAGUAGUUGUAAUAAUAAACUGCGUUAUUUGAGAGCGAACUUGGCAAAUUCUCGUCCUUGUCUUAAUUGCAAGUACAUUUAGACACACUUGUCCACUUUAGAAUUUCGGUGCCGUGUAUGUGUUUUUAUCUCCAAAAGAUCAUUAAAUAAGGAAGAAAUAAAAACGCGGUAGCUUGUCUAAAGCUGCAGUAGCGUAAUUUUGUAACCUUGGUGAAGUAAAGAGUCUUUGAGAGUGAACUUGUUAUACAAAUGCAACGUGCAGCCUGGCUUCUAACCCAUUGUGUUGUUAAACCGUUUAUACGAGAAAUUUCAUUCUAAAAUUAUUAUUUAAUUUA
Long non-coding RNA from Frieseomelitta varia, 1357 nucleotides. RefSeq lists it as uncharacterized. The record is from RefSeq and is a predicted model, not a curated record. The transcript is spliced from 3 exons. NCBI's taxonomy places the organism in Eukaryota, Metazoa, Arthropoda, Insecta, Hymenoptera, Apidae.